This 251-nucleotide unclassified non-coding RNA is filed under the name plant metagenome. RNAcentral's name for it is "partial contains small subunit ribosomal RNA, internal transcribed spacer 1, and 5.8S ribosomal RNA". The stretch from base 203 to 251 matches the Rfam family "5.8S ribosomal RNA", at positions 1 to 49 of the family's 154-position model. The record is from RNAcentral.
UCUCCGUUGGCGAACCAGCGGAGGGAUCAUUACAGAGUUGCAAAACUCCCAAACCAUUGUGAACGUUACCUAUCCCGUUGCUUCGGCGGGCGGCCCGGGCCCCGCGCCCGGCGCCCCCCGGCCCCCCGUGGGCGCCCGCCGGAGGUAAACCAAACCCUUGAAUUGCAUGGCCUCUCUGAGUCUUCUGUACUGAAUAAGUCAAAACUUUCAACAACGGAUCUCUUGGUUCUGGCAUCGAUGGAGAACGCAGC